UUUGUCUUAUAGCAUAAAUUAAAAACAGUUAGAUCUGGAAUAGACCCUGAGGAAAAUAUAGUCCAUUUAUUUUAUGAAUAAGGAAAUUGAGACCCGUCAGAGUUAAAUAACUUUCUGUGGACAUCCAGCAAGUUCAUAGGACAAACAGGCCCAGAAUUGAGUGUGAUUGAGAGCAAACCUGAUGUUAUUUGGUUUACCUUGAGUGUUUCUCAUGUUACUUAAAAUAUAAAUAGUUGUUACCCUGAAAGAAAAUGUUAGACUCUUCUUGAAAAAUUAUAUGAUUGCAGAUAUCUAUUUAAAUGAAGGUAGAAAAUGACACUAAAGAGAGACAGAAUGACGGUUUACUCUAAUUUGCUCCCCUUUCCACCCAAGGUCAAGGUAGCAUAGAACCAGUCUGCCAUAUGUAGCUCAAGUUCAAAGAGUUACAUUUCAUAUUUGAUUUAAUUUUUUGUCUUAGUUCAUUGGGGCUGCUAUAACAAAAUGCCAUUUAUUGGAUAGCUUAUAACAUUACAAAUUUAUUUAUUGCAGUUCUAGAGGCUGGAAAGUCUGUGAUCAAGUUGCAGGCAGAUUUAGUGUCUGGUGAUUUCAUCGCGCCAUCUCACUGCAUGCUCACAUGGUGGAAGAGGCAAGGCAACUGUCUGGGGUCUGUUUUAUAAACUAAGAAUAACUGCAUGAUUUCCUUCUCUAUGACACUAGACUGCCGCCUUCUUCAAUUUACUUGAGCCAAUGUUUAAGUAAACUUCUUGCCUGGAAAAACUGCAGCCAGCAAACUAAUUCAGUUACUGUUCAGAAUAAAUACACAGAUCAUUCAGAAAAUACAAAAGCUGUAAGGAGCUGUGUGUUCAGGCUUUCUUCAUGUUGCGCAAGGAAUUCAAUUUUAGCCCAGAUCAUAAUAAACAAGUUGUACUACAGGUAUUACAUCUUUACAUAGUUGGGUUUAUUUUCCACGAGGACUGG
RNAcentral lists this long non-coding RNA (957 nucleotides) under Papio anubis (olive baboon). RNAcentral's name for it is "lncRNA (ENSPANG00000045953.1)". The record is from RNAcentral. Lineage: Eukaryota; Metazoa; Chordata; Mammalia; Primates; Cercopithecidae.